This 500-nucleotide ribosomal RNA is filed under the name uncultured Glomeromycotina. RNAcentral's name for it is "partial small subunit ribosomal RNA". It matches the Rfam family "Eukaryotic small subunit ribosomal RNA", at positions 591 to 1092 of the family's 1831-position model. Lineage: Eukaryota; Fungi; Glomeromycota. The record is from RNAcentral.
CCAAUAGCGUAUAUUAAAGUUGUUGCAGUUAAAAAGCUCGUAGUUGAAUUUCGGGGUCAGUAGGUUGGCCAUGCCACUGGUAUGUACUGGUCUCACUGAUUCCUCCUUCCUGAUGAGCUGUAAUGCCAUUAAUUUGGUGUUGCGGGGAAUCUGGACUGUUACUUUGAAAAAAUUAGAGUGUUUAAAGCAGGCUAACGCCUGAAUACAUUAGCAUGGAAUAAUGAAAUAGGACGUUCGAUCCUAUUUUGUUGGUUUCUAGGAUUGACGUAAUGAUUAAUAGGGAUAGUUGGGGGCAUUAGUAUUCAAUUGUCAGAGGUGAGAUUCUUGGAUUUAUUGAAGACUAACUACUGCGAAAGCAUUUGCCAAGGAUGUUUUCAUUAAUCAAGAACGAAAGUUAGGGGAUCGAAGACGAUCAGAUACCGUCGUAGUCUUAACCAUAAACUAUGCCGACUAGGGAUCGGAUGAUGUUAAUUUUUUAAUGACUCAUUCGGCGCCUUACG